This 74-nucleotide transfer RNA is filed under the name Candidatus Uhrbacteria bacterium. RNAcentral describes it as "tRNA-Lys". It matches the Rfam family "tRNA". From Rfam's summary of the family: Transfer RNA (tRNA) molecules are approximately 80 nucleotides in length. Their secondary structure includes four short double-helical elements and three loops (D, anti-codon, and T loops). The record is from RNAcentral. Lineage: Bacteria; Candidatus Uhriibacteriota.
GGGCCGCUAGCUCAGUUGGUUAGAGCAUCUCCCUUUUAAGGAGAGGGUCCCCGGUUCGAGUCCGGGGCGGCUCA